Molecule: long non-coding RNA, 3319 nt
Organism: Homo sapiens (human)
Lineage: Eukaryota; Metazoa; Chordata; Mammalia; Primates; Hominidae
Exons: 2
Source: RefSeq, a predicted model, not a curated record
GCAGCUGAGAUGGGAGGUGGAGGGAGGUGGGGGGAGGAGGAGAGGGAGAGGAGGAGGAGGAGAAAGAGGAGAAGGGCUUAAGGAGCAAGUAUCGGGCAGAGGAAGGGAAGUCGCAAUGAGAAAGAUCAGGGUGUUAUAGGGUGGAGAGGGGAAGGAGAAAGCUGGAUAUGGAAGCAGAGGAAGGAAAUAUGGAUCAACAAAAUUUAGAUUUCCUACUACAGUGGAUAGAUGCCUGGCCAGAAAAGCCAAAAGCCCGUGAAUGCGGUGCAUAAGCGACCCACAAGCUCUCGUGCGUCUGUCGGUGAGAGUGCACCGCCGACUGCGUCCUGCUGACAGUGUGACCCCAGAGCGCCAAGGCCGGCCGGCCACAUGCAGCCUACUGGCGGCGCAUCAGAUCAGCAGUAACGACGUCCACCUGAAGGUGGUUGGGGGAAGAGGGGAGCGCUAAGGGAUCCUGCCCUGCCUGGCCGCCCAGGUUCCUGGGCUCCCUAAACGGCUCCGCCCCUCACCCAGCCUGGCACCAGGGCACGUACUCGGGCGAACCCAGCGCGCUGCCCCAAGCCCUGGAUCCCUCCCUCCCUCCCAACCCUCCUCAGCUUCCUCGAAAAAGCGGAGAAGCGGAAUCUGCACGCCCAGAAACUCGCGUCAGAAGCCUUAGUAGUCCGACUGGGCAUGCUCGGGACUUGGGGCGCUUCGCAUGGAGGCACUCUCCAGCGGCUAACAUCUGUCCGACUGGGCCAGAUGUGAGUCUGAAGUAGGAGGCUUGGAUGCACGCUAGAGCAGGCUCUGGUUCCGGGAGGGGUGGCGGCGACGCCCACAGCAGUCUUCUUUCCGGCUUCCCACAGAGAGCAAGACCGUGGGAGAUACCAAGUGCCGAGCCAGGGGAGCUGCACAAACUGGAGAAAUAGGAGUCUAGCGGAUUCCCAGGCCUCCUGCCCCGCGGUGCCACCCCAGCCGUAGGCAGGUAGGGGGCGCGCAGAGCAGCUAGGGAGCACCGCGUGUGCUCCCAAGGGACUGCUGACCUCUAGGUAAAGAAAAGAGAGCGUGAAGAGUCGAACAUUCUUUGGGCGAAGGACGUUUACUGAUUUUUUUUUUUUUAAGUAAAGAAAGAAGGGCGUGUGUGAAUGCGUAUAUGUGCACGCACGUUUUAAAUUUUCCUCCGCAAGAACAGGGACAGGAGAGCGAGAAGCUAUUGCCGAGUUGGGAACCCGCUAGAGGUUACAAUAAGGCAGGCUUGGAGUCGUGGCUGGUGCUAGUUACCGGGAAGAGUUCCUCUUGGCGCGGUGGGCGAACACCAAAGCUUCCAACUGUUCCCUUCCCUGGGUGGCGGCAGCUGCCCAAGGUCGGCUUCCGGGCUGGUCUCUGUGCUCCUGAGCAGGGGGACCAGAUUCAGUUUCAGAAAGAGAGGUAGUACAGAGUGACGCCAGGGGGAGUUCUCUGAACCGUGUGUUCCCAUUUUCCCAGCUUUUGAUAUAGGUAUUUGCAAAGAGGGAGCAUUGUAAGACCAUCACACCACCAAGGGGAGGAAAUACAAAGAGCUGAACACUCUAGGGGGAAGAAUCAGGGAAUCAAGAGCACGUUUAUUCCCAUCGUCCCUUCCCAACAAGGUCUUCAGCUUCAGGCAGGAAUCAUUUGGAUCCCUGCGGCUCAACACCCUCCCACUCCCGUCCCGCCCCACCGCCCUGCCAACAAAGAAACAAAAGAUGACAACCAGGCUCUGUAGGGGCAUAGCAACUGCUUCUAUCACCGGCUCUCUGUUGGGCUGUUGAGAAAGCAGUAGUGAAAGGAUGGGUAUAAAACCUGUGUCUUGCCACAAAUAUGUAAACGAAACCUUCCUAAAACCCACUACCCUCCUACAAAACAAAAACAAGUUAUUUGUAUAAACAUAUAUAGAUUUAAGUAUCCUAAAUAAAGAUUCCACAUUAUGAACUGCCCAAACCCUGAACUGUGGAAGGAAGACUUUCAGGAUACCUCCUCAAUCCUUACCAAAGAGUUCUGGAAGGAGAAAAAAAAGAAACAUCUGGCCAGUCACUUCUCCAAUGACUGGAAAUACUCUGGGUGUUUCCGUAACCAGCGAUUAAGAAAAGAACUCCCCAUAACAAAAAGGGAAUUCUGGCCAAAUGGGACAUGGACAAACCCUAAUGACCAAGGAAAUGGAAUAUGAAUUUAAAAGCAUGAUUAUCUCACUCUCAUUCUUGCUGUUCCUUUGUUACUCUUCUUGAAGAUACUGGCAGAAAGGGAGAGUUGAUACUUAGGGAUUUCAUGAAAGGAGGCCGAGUUUGUUUCUCUCCUGGCAAUUCAGCAGUCCCUGUAAUCAUUUUUUUUUAGAAAUUCUCUACCACCUCCUCUUUAUGCUGUAUUUUCUCUAGCAUUCUUCCCUCUCAUUUCCUUACUGGUCUCCUGUGGCUCCCUGGUGUCCUUAAUUCAUUUGGUCUGCACCUGUCUCCCUUUAGUUCCUUCAAAACAUUGUUUCCAGUCCUAAUUCCGAAGUACAGAGGGCUCUGUCACUUUUCUCUGUUUCCUAAGAACUGAUUUGCUGCUUCUAGACGCCUAUAUCCUGAUAUUGUAGGUGGAUUUCCUAAGGCAUUUAUUCAACUUUAGAGAUUCCCCAGACACAUUUAAGCAACAUGAAAUUGCAGAAUUUUCAAGUAGUUUUGCUCAUGGGACCAAGAAUUUCUAUUUCAAAUAUGAAUAUCAGGAAGAAGACACACUAAAUUGCUAGUUUCAGAAUAGCCAAUGUAAAUAUAACAGAUUGUAAUGGAGCAUGCAAUCUCUAUAUGACAGUUGUCCAGUUGCCAAGUGUAUAUUAUUAAAAUAAUUUGCUAGGAAUUUUAAGAUAUAUACCUUUUUGUUAACAAAGACACACACACACACAUGCACUCAUACACCUUUUUAUGUUUAUUCCCAAAACUAAUGUAAUUACAUAAAUUCAAUUCAGCAAGUGAUUAUGGAACAUCUACUAUAUUCCAGGAACUGUGCCAGCAUUGGGAAUAGGCAAAGAAAUUGAGACUUAAAGAAGCUAAGAAAUGUUCAAAGAUGUGUGAACAAUUUGCUAAUCAACAAGUAUAUACUGUGUGACUGUUACCGUGUAUCUAGACUAUUUCACUCCUAGAGAACAAUAUUUAGAUGUUCUGGCCUUGAUUUUUUAAAUAUAUUUUUAAUCUAUAGGUUGCAUUCUGUGAGAAGAAUGCAUAAUGGAAAAUAUGACAUGUCAGUUUUGUUUCUAAGUACCCUCAUAAUAAGAAUGUAAGUACAAUAAUAUUUGUAUUAGUCUAUUCUCACGCUGCCAAUAAAGACAUACCUGAGAUUAAGUAACUUA